GGGUUGUGAGGUUAAGCGACUAAGCGUACACGGUGGAUGCCCUGGCAGUCAGAGGCGAUGAAGGACGUGCUAAUCUGCGAAAAGCGUCGGUAAGGUGAUAUGAACCGUUAUAACCGGCGAUGUCCGAAUGGGGAAACCCAGUGCAAUUCGUUGCACUAUCGUUAACUGAAUACAUAGGUUAACGAGGCGAACCGGGGGAACUGAAACAUCUAAGUACCCCGAGGAAAAGAAAUCAACCGAGAUUCCCCCAGUAGCGGCGAGCGAACGGGGAGCAGCCCAGAGUCUGAAUCAGCUUGUGUGUUAGUGGAACGGUCUGGAAAGUCCGACGGUACAGGGUGAUAGUCCCGUACACCAAAAUGCACAGGUUGUGAACUCGAAGAGUAGGGCGGGACACGUGGUAUCCUGUCUGAAUAUGGGGGGACCAUCCUCCAAGGCUAAAUACUCCUGACUGACCGAUAGUGAACCAGUACCGUGAGGGAAAGGCGAAAAGAACCCCGGCGAGGGGAGUGAAAAAGAACCUGAAACCGUGUACGUACAAGCAGUGGGAGCACCUUCGGGUGUGACUGCGUACCUUUUGUAUAAUGGGUCAGCGACUUAUAUUCUGUAGCAAGGUUAACCGUAUAGGGGAGCCGCAGGGAAACCGAGUCUUAACUGGGCGUUAAGUUGCAGGGUAUAGACCCGAAACCCGGUGAUCUAGCCAUGGGCAGGUUGAAGGUUGGGUAACACUAACUGGAGGACCGAACCGACUAAUGUUGAAAAAUUAGCGGAUGACUUGUGGCUGGGGGUGAAAGGCCAAUCAAACCGGGAGAUAGCUGGUUCUCCCCGAAAGCUAUUUAGGUAGCGCCUCGUGAAUUCAUCUUCGGGGGUAGAGCACUGUUUCGGCUAGGGGGUCAUCCCGACUUACCAACCCGAUGCAAACUACGAAUACCGAAGAAUGUUAUCACGGGAGACACACGGCGGGUGCUAACGUCCGUCGUGAAGAGGGAAACAACCCAGACCGCCAGCUAAGGUCCCAAAGUCAUGGUUAAGUGGGAAACGAUGUGGGAAGGCACAGACAGCCAGGAUGUUGGCUUAGAAGCAGCCAUCAUUUAAAGAAAGCGUAAUAGCUCACUGGUCGAGUCGGCCUGCGCGGAAGAUGUAACGGGGCUAAACCAUGCACCGAAGCUGCGGCAGCGACACUAUGUGUUGUUGGGUAGGGGAGCGUUCUGUAAGCCUGCGAAGGUGUGCUGUGAGGCAUGCUGGAGGUAUCAGAAGUGCGAAUGCUGACAUAAGUAACGAUAAAGCGGGUGAAAAGCCCGCUCGCCGGAAGACCAAGGGUUCCUGUCCAACGUUAAUCGGGGCAGGGUGAGUCGACCCCUAAGGCGAGGCCGAAAGGCGUAGUCGAUGGGAAACAGGUUAAUAUUCCUGUACUUGGUGUUACUGCGAAGGGGGGACGGAGAAGGCUAUGUUAGCCGGGCGACGGUUGUCCCGGUUUAAGCAUGUAGGCUGGUUAUCCAGGCAAAUCCGGAUAAUCAAGGCUGAGGUGUGAUGACGAGGCACUACGGUGCUGAAGUAACAAAUGCCCUGCUUCCAGGAAAAGCCUCUAAGCAUCAGGUAACAUCAAAUCGUACCCCAAACCGACACAGGUGGUCAGGUAGAGAAUACCAAGGCGCUUGAGAGAACUCGGGUGAAGGAACUAGGCAAAAUGGUGCCGUAACUUCGGGAGAAGGCACGCUGGUGUGUAGGUGAAGCCCCUGCGGGUGGAGCUGAGACCAGUCGAAGAUACCAGCUGGCUGCAACUGUUUAUUAAAAACACAGCACUGUGCAAACACGAAAGUGGACGUAUACGGUGUGACGCCUGCCCGGUGCCGGAAGGUUAAUUGAUGGGGUUAUCCGUAAGGAGAAGCUCUUGAUCGAAGCCCCGGUAAACGGCGGCCGUAACUAUAACGGUCCUAAGGUAGCGAAAUUCCUUGUCGGGUAAGUUCCGACCUGCACGAAUGGCGUAAUGAUGGCCAGGCUGUCUCCACCCGAGACUCAGUGAAAUUGAACUCGCUGUGAAGAUGCAGUGUACCCGCGGCAAGACGGAAAGACCCCGUGAACCUUUACUAUAGCUUGACACUGAACAUUGAGCCUUGAUGUGUAGGAUAGGUGGGAGGCUUUGAAGCGUGGACGCCAGUCUGCGUGGAGCCAACCUUGAAAUACCACCCUUUAAUGUUUGAUGUUCUAACGUUGGCCCCUUACCGGGGUUGCGGACAGUGUCUGGUGGGUAGUUUGACUGGGGCGGUCUCCUCCCAAAGCGUAACGGAGGAGCACGAAGGUUAGCUAAUCCUGGUCGGACAUCAGGAGGUUAGUGCAAUGGCAUAAGCUAGCUUGACUGCGAGCGUGACGGCGCGAGCAGGUGCGAAAGCAGGUCAUAGUGAUCCGGUGGUUCUGAAUGGAAGGGCCAUCGCUCAACGGAUAAAAGGUACUCCGGGGAUAACAGGCUGAUACCGCCCAAGAGUUCAUAUCGACGGCGGUGUUUGGCACCUCGAUGUCGGCUCAUCACAUCCUGGGGCUGAAGUAGGUCCCAAGGGUAUGGCUGUUCGCCAUUUAAAGUGGUACGCGAGCUGGGUUUAGAACGUCGUGAGACAGUUCGGUCCCUAUCUGCCGUGGGCGCUGGAGAAUUGAGGGGGGCUGCUCCUAGUACGAGAGGACCGGAGUGGACGCAUCACUGGUGUUCGGGUUGUCAUGCCAAUGGCACUGCCCGGUAGCUAAAUGCGGAAGAGAUAAGUGCUGAAAGCAUCUAAGCACGAAACUUGCCCCGAGAUGAGUUCUCCCUGAGACUUUAAGUCUCCUGAAGGAACGUUGAAGACGACGACGUUGAUAGGCCGGGUGUGUAAGCGCAGCGAUGCGUUGAGCUAACCGGUACUAAUGAACCGUGAGGCUUAACCUUACAACGCCGAAG
This 2923-nucleotide ribosomal RNA is filed under the name Klebsiella pneumoniae. RNAcentral describes it as "bacterial LSU rRNA". It matches the Rfam family "Bacterial large subunit ribosomal RNA". The record is from RNAcentral. Lineage: Bacteria; Pseudomonadati; Pseudomonadota; Gammaproteobacteria; Enterobacterales; Enterobacteriaceae.